UGUCGACCUGUCAAUCAAAUCCACUUCACUGUGUAGCUGACCAAGCUUGCUAGCGCCAGCGUCUCGUCCAGUUGUGGUCACGCCCGCCUUUCACGUCCACGGGUGACACACAGCAGAGAGCGACGGCCAGAGUAACACUUUGAGCUGUCUGUGAUUGGCCGAGAGUUUGAGUGCGAGGCUGAUCGAUGAGAGCCUGCAGCAGGAUGAACCAACCAGAGAGGCAGUUGUCUUUUCCCCCCUAUCUCAUCCCACCCCAGCUCUUUAAAAUCAUAAGAGGUUUUGCUGUGGCUUGUCGAUCCAAGGCCAAACUGUCAUGACGACGUACACGGAUCCUGUGACGUGUGCUACCUCAUCACACCCUUUUUGUUGAACUGCAAAAUGCUGCACUGCCAAUAUUACUACAGAAUUAAAUUUUGUAACGAGGACACACUUCCACAAAGGUUGAUGGCAAAUUUCAUUUAGCAGAUGAAUUUGGUGGGUCUGCUGGUCAGUACAAGUUGUAUUUUCUGUUGCAUCAAACCACUAACUUUAGCAUCAGCAAUGCCAAGAGCGAAACAAAAAUAGUCCAACCAUUGUGCUUUGUAAAUAUGACACAAAUAAACACUCAGAAAAUA
This is a long non-coding RNA of Micropterus salmoides (largemouth bass), 614 nucleotides long. RefSeq lists it as uncharacterized. The transcript is spliced from 3 exons. Lineage: Eukaryota; Metazoa; Chordata; Actinopteri; Centrarchiformes; Centrarchidae. The record is from RefSeq and is a predicted model, not a curated record.